AUCAAGAAUCAAAGUAACAUUAAUGCUGAAUUCACACAUGCAGAAGACUUCAAAACUUUUGAGUUUUUAGGUUUAGCUGCUGGAGAUUUAUGCAGAUCUUUUUUUAUAACCUCUUGACUUACUUUACUAACCUCUGCCCCUCCUCUGCAUUCAGCAAUCAUGAGGAAGUUGCACAACAACUAAAAAAGGAAAGGCUGAAGCAACCCUGGACAGUAAGGAGUAAAAUGAUGAAUUUCUGGGUGAAUAAACUUGGCUCACAAAUUUCACGUACCAACUUAACAUCGACUACUCAACUAGAUUUGAUACUGAAAGGACGUCUUAUCACUUUUAAUCACAGAAAGAGGAUCCAGUUUUAUGAGACAGCCGUCCAGAGAGCUUCUUUUUCCAUGUUGUGUAUACCAGAACAGCCUCCUGAUGGCACAUUUUUAUACUUUAUUGACUCAUAAGGGCAUCAAGAGGGCACACAGUCAUGUUGAAUCCUUCAGAGGAGCAGAUACUAAAGCAGGAAGGGCAUUUAAGAUUUUUCAUCUAUGUGAAGAGGCACUUCUGUGGUGAGUUUUCAAACAUCAGGGCACCAACCAACAUUAUUAUGAGACAAAAUCAUCCGAGUUUUAAG
This is a non-coding RNA of Xyrichtys novacula (pearly razorfish), 616 nucleotides long. NCBI's taxonomy places the organism in Eukaryota, Metazoa, Chordata, Actinopteri, Labriformes, Labridae. The record is from the annotation of a GenBank genome assembly.